RNAcentral lists this ribosomal RNA (505 nucleotides) under uncultured bacterium. Its description in RNAcentral is "partial 16S ribosomal RNA". It matches the Rfam family "Bacterial small subunit ribosomal RNA", at positions 28 to 507 of the family's 1533-position model. The record is from RNAcentral.
GACGAACGCUGGCGGCGUGCCUAAUACAUGCAAGUAGAACGCACAGUUUAUACCGUAGCUUGCUACACCAUAGACUGUGAGUUGCGAACGGGUGAGUAACGCGUAGGUAACCUGCCUGGCAGCGGGGGAUAACUAUUGGAAACGAUAGCUAAUACCGCAUAAUAUUAAUUAUUGCAUGAUAAUUAAUUGAAAGGUGCAAUUGCACCACUACCAGAUGGACCUGCGUUGUAUUAGCUAGUAGGUGAGGUAACGGCUCACCUAGGCGACGAUACAUAGCCGACCGGAGAGGGUGAUCGGCCACACUGGGACUGAGACACGGCCCAGACUCCUACGGGAGGCAGCAGUAGGGAAUCUUCGGCAAUGGACGAAAGUCUGACCGAGCAACGCCGCGUGAGUGAAGAAGGUUUUCGGAUCGUAAAGCUCUGUUGUAAGAGAAGAACGGGUGUGAGAGUGGAAAGUUCACACUGUGACGGUAUCUUACCAGAAAGGGACGGCUAACUACGUG